This is a non-coding RNA of Pogona vitticeps (central bearded dragon), 1431 nucleotides long. The record is from RefSeq and is a predicted model, not a curated record. NCBI's taxonomy places the organism in Eukaryota, Metazoa, Chordata, Lepidosauria, Squamata, Agamidae.
CAGCGAGCGGACGAACAAAACGGGGCGGGCGGGCGCAGGAAGAGCGAAGGAAGGAAGCGGGCGGGCUUGACGGGAGGAACGGCUCAGGCUUCUCUCCUUCCUCGCCGGCCGCGCCCAGGCCCAAGCCGCCGCUGUUGUUGUUGCUUUUUUUUUUUAACCUACCCCCCUUUUUUUCCCGGGGAGUUUUUUUUCCGUUCCCCCCUCCUCUCAAAACCAGAGAGAGAGAGAGAGGAAGGGAUUUAUAUAGAUUGAAAAAACAUAUAUAUUUUUUUCCGCCCGCCCGCCUGCCUGUCUGUCCAUCUGGGUCUGUCUUUCUGCCGCCUCAGGGGGUCGCCUUUAUUUGUGUGGUUGCUGCAGCCGCCGCCCUCCUUUUUGGUUUCUUCCCCCCCUCCCCCCCAGUGUGUGGCGGUUAGGGCUCGUGAGGGAAAGCGGCUGCCACGCGCCGCGCGGGACGGACGGGCUGAGGGAAGGCAAGGCAAGGCAAGGCGGGCGGGCCUGAGGCGGUGUCGGAAGGGGGCUCGCGCGGCCCGAAAGAAGGGGAAAGGAAAAAAAAAACACGUCGCCUUCCUCCCCCGACGAGGAAAAAAAAAAGGCGAAGCAAGGACGCCUCAGCGACGACGCCUCGGAGGGAGAAAAGCAGAGCUUGGCGGGGUUGGGGGUGUUCCUCGCCUGCCUGCCUGCCCCCCACGGGCCUGCAAAAGAAGAGUGGAGGGAGAGAGGCCGAAAAAGAAGGGCCGAGAAGAGGGGGUGGUGGCUGGUUUCUUUCUUCUUCUUUUUUUUUUUGGAGGGGGGCCUUUGCCGGCGUCGGCGGUGAAUGAGCAGCGGCCGUCGAGGAAGAUUUUUGAGCAACUGAGAGGUGUCAGAGAGGCACACCUUUAGUACGGGAAGAUGAGUGAACUUGACCAGUUACGCCAGGAGGCGGAGCAACUGAAAAAUCAAAUCAGAGAUGCUAGGAAAGCAUGUGCCGAUGCUACGUUGGCCCAGCAGUCCAAGACCUAUUGUUCCAUUUUGACUUUGGUUGUUCAUUGCUUGUCCAUGGAAUCCUCUUCUGCCAGAGGCUAAAGUGAAGUAGUACUAGAGCAAGUUGGAGUUCGGUGUAUUGUCUCAGAAACACUGGUUGCUGAUGAGGUAGUCUCAGAUAUUUUGUCUCCCCUGGCCAGUCUCCAAGAUCACCUUUUAGCAUAGCCUCUGAGAAACACUGACUGAAUGCCGAAAAAAAGAAAAAAAAAUCAGUGAGUGAACAAUUUCUGUUUUCUACCAAUGCUGUAUCCAGGAGUCUGGACCCUGAGAGUGGAAAAGGAAUUUCAAGAAUCUGAUGUGUAAUUGAGGGAUGGUAAUUCUAAAUCUGAAAAGCAGCCUGUACCCCCCAAGCUGCCUUGACAGGUUUCAUUAGGAAGCAGGAAUGAUUUGUGCUGUUUAAUUAACUGUGUU